UAAGCAUAUCAAUAAGCGGAGGAAAAGAAACCAACAGGGAUUGCCUUAGUAACUGCGAGUGAAGCGGCAAAAGCUCAAAUUUGAAAUCUGGGGCCUCACAGCCUCCGAAUUGUAAUUUCACGAUACGUUUUCGACUGAAGGCUCUGCUUUAAGUUCCUUGGAACAGGACGUCACAGAGGGUGAGAAUCCCGUGAUAGGUGGAGCCUGAUGCAUAUGAUACGUAUUCAACGAGUCGAGUUGUUUGGGAAUGCAGCUCAAAAUGGGAGGUAAAUUUCUUCUAAAGCUAAAUAUUGGCGAGAGACCGAUAGCGCACAAGUAGAGUGAUCGAAAGAUGAAAAGCACUUUGAAAAGAGAGUUAAAAAGUACGUGAAAUUGUUGAAAGGGAAGCGCUUGAGACCAGACUCAAUCUGUAGUGAUCAAUUUGGCUUCUGUCAGAUGCACUUGCUACUUAUUGGGACAGCAUCGGUUUUGGCGGUGGGAUAAAGUCUUGAGGAAUGUAGCUAUCUUCGGGUAGUGUUAUAGCCUCUUGAGUAAUGCCACCAGCUGGGACCGAGGACCGCGCCGCAAGGCUAGGAUGCUGUCAUAAUGGUCUUCAGCGACCC
This 602-nucleotide ribosomal RNA is filed under the name Geopyxis carbonaria. RNAcentral describes it as "eukaryotic LSU rRNA". It matches the Rfam family "Eukaryotic large subunit ribosomal RNA", at positions 35 to 650 of the family's 3401-position model. The record is from RNAcentral. Lineage: Eukaryota; Fungi; Ascomycota; Pezizomycetes; Pezizales; Tarzettaceae.